Molecule: small RNA, 655 nt
Filed under: Rattus norvegicus (Norway rat)
Lineage: Eukaryota; Metazoa; Chordata; Mammalia; Rodentia; Muridae
Description: uncharacterized LOC108350096
Source: RNAcentral
GAAUCCUGUUGCCACGCGUCGUUCUUGCUGGCGGGACAUUGGGCGCGCGACACCUAAGUCCUCUCCCUUCUUCACUCAUUCAUUAACUUUUCACUUUUCCUACUUUCUAGAGAACCACAGACUCCAGAAGUAUACGUGGGCGUGUGUAAAGACAGGAGCUCCAGACUAGAGAAGAAGCAUGACUUGUACCUGAGAAGGACAAUGGGUUUUCCAUUAUUGAGAAAUAGAUCUCACACACAGUCACUGGGAAAUGAAGGCUCAUCACAGCACUUAGCUUGACUUUGAUUAAGGGAAUUAACUUCAUGUACUCUGAUCUGUUACCUUCAGUGCUGUUACUUCUUAACUACCCUCUCAGCUUUUGACUUCAAAGAGAAUUGAACUUUAAGGGUCAACUUUCCUGCUUGGAUAUAUAACCAAGUGAUAUCGUGGCCAUUGUACUUGGGAGGAAAUUUCUGCUUAAAGAGGGUAAUAGUUACGAGAUUGACAUAAGUCUUAGAAGAGACUUUGGACUUUAAAACAAGGUUGAGACUAUUAUCGACUAUGGGGACUUCUGAAGUUGGAGUAAAUGCAUUUUGUAGUAUGAUGUGGCUAAAAUCUUAUGGAAACCAAGUCACAGAAGUUGGUGAUUUGAAUAAAAAUGGCCCCCAUAGGUUCA